This 126-nucleotide long non-coding RNA is filed under the name Apteryx owenii (little spotted kiwi). RNAcentral's name for it is "lncRNA (ENSAOWG00000001133.1)". Lineage: Eukaryota; Metazoa; Chordata; Aves; Apterygiformes; Apterygidae. The record is from RNAcentral.
ACUCUGGACUGCUGGAAAACCUGACACAACCUCAGCCAAUUUAAUCACCAUUGGAAUUGAGUUGUAGGCUCUUGUUUCAUGCAUACACCACCUCCAUUACACAGCACUUGCAGCAUUACAGAGGUA